CAAUUAACUAUUUCGACAUUGAUUUGCCUGCCACAAACCCCUUGUGUGCAGCAGAGAGUUCUGGGGCAUGUUACAAGGGGCACAUUCAAUGACUUAGGUCUACGCUGGUUUUCACUUUUGCUCCACAAAGAGCAUAGCCGCUAGGCCCCCCCCCCCCUCAGUGCUCCCCAGCAGUUACACAUUAGGAGGUGAGGCCAGCAGUGGAAGGCAAACUGCCUUUUGCGUGGAAACCCAACUGCCACCCUUGAAAUCAACUCCCGCCUCAAAACAAAAAUAAAAAUGCUUUCAAAGAGCAGCAGGAUUUUCCUGAGCACGGUCUUCACAUCACGGAGAAAGCCCUUCCUGAGGGAAAGAAUAUACUCCUGAGCAAAUCAUGAAGGCCCUUUGAUGUUUGAAGUUUACUGAGCCAGCACAAGGCUAUGGUUGGGAAGAUGGCUGUUCCUGAAGUUUCGAACAACUGAUUCACAACUGCAGUCUUCAGAGUCAGUACUAAGAAAUGAAAGUGAGCCUACAAAAUCCUAUUUAUGUUAAGCUCACAUAAAAAAUGCAAAGGUCACAAAAUUGCAAGUAAACGAGUUAAAUCCUAUGUAGUCAGAGUCUCUGAAAUGGCUGGCUUAAGCAGUUUGAAGAUUGAUAUGUGCACACAGCUUAUGAUUAACCAACCUCCACCCUCUCAAAAAGACCUUUUCUUGACCUUACAGACAGUUUAAUUUAUUUUCUUGAAGUAUACUCAGAGCCUCCCUAUUAAUUACAUACUGUGCAUAACACUGAAUGCUGUACAGCCGUACUUAAUUAGAAGGCUUAAUGCUAAUGUUGUUAUGAAAUAUUAUUACUCUUAGAUAUUCAUUGCCAAGACAAGCUGAUAUACAUCACUGAUUCUCCCAGGAUGCCACAUCCCAGAGCUCUUUUAGGGAUAAGAUUAUAUAUGGUGUAGUCCCAUUCUGUGACUGUAUUUCUCCUCUACAAGCACUUUGGAAGCACUCCACCUACCAAGAGCAGCGCAAGAGAAAGUGCACCAUGAUCUGAUUGAGCCAGAAUGAAGUCUCUACGGAGAGAAAGAAACAACGCUGAACAGACUUUGCUUCAGCAUGAAGGAGUCACAUGUCUGGUUUCCCAGCUACACCCACAGGUUUGUACUAUUGGAGGCUAUUAUUAUUGCUGCUGCUAUUACUACAUACUAACAGAAAUCUCAGUUACCAGAGUGUGGUUGCAUAAGUAACCAAUACAUCAGCACCCAGAUACAAGGAGGCAGCACUGGUAUGUGCAGGCUAACCCAGUGGUUCACAGAAGUUACUCCCCUCCCCCCAAAAGAAAAUCCUUUAGGGGAGGGGAAAACCUAAAAGUGGAGAGACCAAAAACUGAGUAUAUUUAGAAGGCAUGGAAUGCUGACUGGCUGCAGAGAGGGGAUGAGAAACCAGGAAUGGGGCAAGGGAAUAGCUUCAACACUUAACAGUGAGUGCGCACGCUGCACCAUUUUGUUGUAGGUCCCACUUGUUAUCAUAAUAUUUAACAUUUGCAUAGUGCUUUCAAAUAUUCAGAGUGCUCCUCAUGCAUUAUCUAGUUAUAAUCCUUACAACAACCCUGCAAGGUGAAGUGAGGAUUAUUCCCCCCCCCCCCCAGAGCAGAUGGGGGACAGUG
Podarcis raffonei (Aeolian wall lizard) is the source of this 1638-nucleotide long non-coding RNA. RefSeq lists it as uncharacterized. The record is from RefSeq and is a predicted model, not a curated record. Lineage: Eukaryota; Metazoa; Chordata; Lepidosauria; Squamata; Lacertidae. The transcript has 3 exons.